ACUCCUACGGGAGGCAGCAGUAGGGAAUCUUCCACAAUGGGUGCAAACCUGAUGGAGCAAUGCCGCGUGAGUGAAGAAGGUCUUCGGAUCGUAAAGCUCUGUUGUUAGAGAAGAACACGUGCUAGGUAACUACUAGCGCCUUGACGGUAUCUAACCAGAAAGUCACGGCUAACUACGUGCCAGCAGCCGCGGUAAUACGUAGGUGACAAGCGUUGUCCGGAUUUAUUGGGCGUAAAGGGAGCGCAGGCGGUCUGUUUAGUCUAAUGUGAAAGCCCACGGCUUAACCGUGGAACGGCAUUGGAAACUGACAGACUUGAAUGUAGAAGAGGAAAAUGGAAUUCCAAGUGUAGCGGUGGAAUGCGUAGAUAUUUGGAGGAACACCAGUGGCGAAGGCGAGUUUCUGGUCUAACAUUGACGCUGAGGCUCGAAAGCGUGGGGAGCGAACAGGAUUAGAAACCCUUGUAGUCCCAUG
Molecule: ribosomal RNA, 472 nt
Filed under: uncultured organism
Description: partial 16S ribosomal RNA
Rfam family: Bacterial small subunit ribosomal RNA
Source: RNAcentral